CGCACGGGUGCGUAACGCGUGGGAAUCUGCCCUUGGGUACGGAAUAACUCAGAGAAAUUUGUGCUAAUACCGUAUAAUGUCUUCGGACCAAAGAUUUAUCGCCCAAGGAUGAGCCCGCGUAAGAUUAGCUAGUUGGUGGGGUAAAAGCCUACCAAGGCGACGAUCUUUAGCUGGUCUGAGAGGAUGAUCAGCCACACUGGGACUGAGACACGGCCCAGACUCCUACGGGAGGCAGCAGUGGGGAAUAUUGGACAAUGGGCGAAAGCCUGAUCCAGCAAUGCCGCGUGAGUGAUGAAGGCCUUAGGGUUGUAAAGCUCUUUUACCCGGGAUGAUAAUGACAGUACCGGGAGAAUAAGCUCCGGCUAACUCCGUGCCAGCAGCCGCGGUAAUACGGAGGGAGCUAGCGUUGUUCGGAAUUACUGGGCGUAAAGCGCGCGUAGGCGGUUUUUUAAGUCAGAGGUGAAAGCCCAGUGCUCAACACUGGAACUGCCUUUGAAACUGGAAAACUUGAAUCUUGGAGAGGUCAGUGGAAUUCCGAGUGUAGAGGUGAAAUUCGUAGAUAUUCGGAAGAACACCAGUGGCGAAGGCGACUGACUGGA
This 599-nucleotide ribosomal RNA is filed under the name Salipiger marinus. RNAcentral's name for it is "bacterial SSU rRNA". It matches the Rfam family "Bacterial small subunit ribosomal RNA", at positions 99 to 733 of the family's 1533-position model. Lineage: Bacteria; Pseudomonadati; Pseudomonadota; Alphaproteobacteria; Rhodobacterales; Roseobacteraceae. The record is from RNAcentral.